Molecule: unclassified non-coding RNA, 265 nt
Filed under: Microascales sp.
Lineage: Eukaryota; Fungi; Ascomycota; Sordariomycetes; Microascales
Description: partial contains 5.8S ribosomal RNA, internal transcribed spacer 2, and large subunit ribosomal RNA
Source: RNAcentral
CGCACAUUGCGCCUGCCAGUAUUCUGGCAGGCAUGCCUGUUCGAGCGUCAUUUCAACCCCUCAGGCCCUGGUGCCUGGCGUCGGGGCUCUUCCCUCGCGGGAAGCCCCUAGAGACAGUGGCGGACCCGCCGCGGCUCCGAGCGCAGUAGUAACAUUCUCGCUUAGGAGGUUCGCGGAGGGGCUCCCGGCCGUAAAACCCAGCCCCUAAGAAGGCUGACUUCUCAAGGUUGACCUCGGAUCAGGUAGGAAUACCCGCUGAACUUAA